RNAcentral lists this ribosomal RNA (422 nucleotides) under uncultured bacterium. Its description in RNAcentral is "bacterial SSU rRNA". It matches the Rfam family "Bacterial small subunit ribosomal RNA", at positions 355 to 774 of the family's 1533-position model. The record is from RNAcentral.
UAAGGAAUAUUGGUCAAUGGAGGCAACUCUGAACCAGCCAUGCCGCGUGCAGGAAGACGGCCCUCUUGGUUGUAAACUGCUUUUAUUCGGGAAUAAACCUGCUUACGUGUAAGUAGCUGAAUGUACCGAAGGAAUAAGUAUCGGCUAACCCCGUGCCAGCAGCCGCGGUAAUACGGAGGAUCCAAGCGUUAUCCGGAUUUAUUGGGUUUAAAGGGUGCGUAGGCGGCUUAUUAAGUCAGGGGUGAAAGACGGUGGCUCAACCAUCGCAGUGGCCUUGAUACUGGUGAGCUUGAAUGAACUAGAGGUAGGCGGAAUGUGACAAGUAGCGGUGAAAUGCAUAGAUAUGUCACAGAACACCGAUUGCGAAGGGAGCUUACUAUGGUUUUAUUGACGCUGAAGCUCGAAAGCGUGGGGAACAAACA